RNAcentral lists this long non-coding RNA (452 nucleotides) under Crocodylus porosus (Australian saltwater crocodile). RNAcentral's name for it is "lncRNA (ENSCPRG00005007719.1)". The record is from RNAcentral. Lineage: Eukaryota; Metazoa; Chordata; Crocodylia; Crocodylidae.
GUUAGUCAGGAAAUCCCCCACUCCCAGAGCCAAAGAUUAAAGGCAACAGAUGGUCUUUUUUGGUUUACUUUGGCUGUUGCCUGUACAUAUGUGACCUGUUGCUCACCUGAGUUAGUAGUCAAAAGCUCGAAGUAGAAAACUGCUCAAGGUGAUUUUCUAUUAAUUUGCUUUAAAACCACAGAAGCAAAGGUGUCUUGAGUAACCUGCAAACACGAGGACUUAUGUCAACUAUGCAUCAAAGACAGACAUGCACUCAGUUUUUGCUACCGCAUCUCAAAACAAGUCAGAGAAGAAAUAGAAAAGAGCUGGGGGAGAUCAACCAAAGCAGUUUGAUUCAUGAAGGAACCUGCUGUCCAAGGAUAGAGAAGAAGAAAUGGUGUGUACAGAGGAAUGGAGGGGCUCUGUUGGAGGGCUCCUGGUGCUAUGAUAAUUCAACCAAUCAACAACAGUAA